This 253-nucleotide ribosomal RNA is filed under the name uncultured bacterium. Its description in RNAcentral is "partial 16S ribosomal RNA". It matches the Rfam family "Bacterial small subunit ribosomal RNA", at positions 524 to 776 of the family's 1533-position model. The record is from RNAcentral.
GACAGAGGGUGCAAACGUUGUUCGGAAUUACUGGGCGUAAAGCGUGCGUAGGUGGCUGCGUAAGUCGGAUGUGAAAGCCCUGGGCUCAACUCAGGAAGUGCACUCGAUACUGCGUAGCUCGAGUACCGGAGAGGUUGGUAGAAUUCUCGGUGUAGAGGUGAAAUUCGUAGAUAUCGAGAGGAAUACCUGUGGCGAAGGCGGCCAACUGGACGAGUACUGACACUGAGACACGAAAGCGUGGGGAGCAAACAGG